AUUGAACGCUGGCGGCAUGCCUUACACAUGCAAGUCGAACGGUAACAGGUCUUCGGAUGCUGACGAGUGGCGAACGGGUGAGUAAUACAUCGGAACGUGCCCAGACGUGGGGGAUAACGAGGCGAAAGCUUUGCUAAUACCGCAUACGAUCUAAGGAUGAAAGCAGGGGACCGCAAGGCCUUGCGCGUUUGGAGCGGCCGAUGGCAGAUUAGGUAGUUGGUGGGAUAAAAGCUUACCAAGCCGACGAUCUGUAGCUGGUCUGAGAGGACGACCAGCCACACGGUGAAGGGAGCACUGGAACGAGGCCGACGGUAGGCCGCCUUGGGGAAGAUUGGACAAUGGGCGCAUGCGUGAUCCAGCCAUAUCGCGUGCGGGACGAAGGCUCGCGGGGUUGAAAGCGCGAUUGGUGGGAAAGAAAAGAAGUAGGUUAAUACCCCGCUGUGCGGAAGGUGCCCGAAGAAUAAGAAACGGCGAACUUAGGG
This 482-nucleotide ribosomal RNA is filed under the name uncultured bacterium. Its description in RNAcentral is "partial 16S ribosomal RNA". It matches the Rfam family "Bacterial small subunit ribosomal RNA", at positions 29 to 507 of the family's 1533-position model. The record is from RNAcentral.